ACGUACACUCCUACGGGAGGCAGCAGUGAGGAAUAUUGGACAAUGGGUGGAAGCCUGAUCCAGCCAUCCCGCGUGCAGGAAGACGGCCCUAUGGGUUGUAAACUGCUUUUAUCUGGGGAUAAACCUACUUACGUGUAAGUAGCUGAAGGUACCAGAAGAAUAAGCACCGGCUAACUCCGUGCCAGCAGCCGCGGUAAUACGGAGGGUGCAAGCGUUAUCCGGAUUUAUUGGGUUUAAAGGGUCCGUAGGCGGACUGAUAAGUCAGUGGUGAAAUCCGACAGCUUAACUGUCGAACUGCCAUUGAUACUGUUAGUCUUGAGUAAGGUUGAAGUGGCUGGAAUAAGUAGUGUAGCGGUGAAAUGCAUAGAUAUUACUUAGAACACCAAUUGCGAAGGCAGGACACUAAGUCUUAACUGACGCUGAUGGACGAAAGCGUGGGGAGCGAACAGGAUUAGAAACCCCUGUAGUCCCAU
This 473-nucleotide ribosomal RNA is filed under the name uncultured organism. RNAcentral's name for it is "partial 16S ribosomal RNA". It matches the Rfam family "Bacterial small subunit ribosomal RNA", at positions 329 to 798 of the family's 1533-position model. The record is from RNAcentral.